Molecule: ribosomal RNA, 810 nt
Filed under: uncultured bacterium
Lineage: Bacteria
Description: bacterial SSU rRNA
Rfam family: Bacterial small subunit ribosomal RNA
Source: RNAcentral
AGAGUUUGAUCAUGGCUCAGAACGAACGCUGGCGGCGUGGAUAAGACAUGCAAGUCGGACGAGAUUUCGUCCUGUAGCAAUACGGGAAGAAGUCUAGUGGCGAACGGGUGCUUAACACGUGGGCAAUUUGUCUUAAAGUGGGGGAUAGCUCGGCGAAAGCCGAAUUAAUACCGCAUGUGAUUAGAAUGGACAUCCAUUCGAAAUUAAAGUCGGGGCAACCUGACGCUUUUUGAGGAGCCCGCGGCCUAUCAGCUAGUUGGUGAGGUAACGGCUCACCAAGGCUUUGACGGGUAGCUGGUCUGAGAGGACGACCAGCCACACUGGGACUGAGACACGGCCCAGACACCUACGGGUGGCAGCAGUCGAGAAUUUUUCUCAAUGGGGGAAACCCUGAAGGAGCGACGCCGCGUGGAGGAUGAAGGUCUUCGGAUUGUAAACUCCUGUCAUUGGGGAACAAGGUGCAUACGUUAACUGCGUGCGCAUUGAUAGUACCCGAAGAGGAAGAGACGGCUAACUCUGUGCCAGCAGCCGCGGUAAUACAGAGGUCUCAAGCGUUGUUCGGAUUCAUUGGGCGUAAAGGGUGCGUAGGCGGCGCGGUAAGUCGGGUGUGAAAUCUCGGAGCUUAACUCCGAAACUGCAUUCGAUACUGCCGUGCUCGAGGACUGGAGAGGAGACUGGAAUUUACGGUGUAGCGGUGAAAUGCGUAGAUAUCGUAAGGAAGACCAGUGGCGAAGGCGGGUCUCUGGACAGUUCCUGACGCUGAGGCACGAGGGUCAGGGGAGCAAACGGGAUUAGAUACCCUAGUAGUCC